Molecule: long non-coding RNA, 1826 nt
Organism: Tachysurus vachellii
Lineage: Eukaryota; Metazoa; Chordata; Actinopteri; Siluriformes; Bagridae
Exons: 7
Source: RefSeq, a predicted model, not a curated record
GAGAGAGAGAGAGAGAGAGAGAGAGAGAGAGAGAGAGAGAGAGAGAGUGAAGGCUGAAGAGAACAUUUUCAGCUUAGACUCUGCAUAUUUAUAAUUAUAGCUUGAAAACUAAUUUUUAUUAGAAAACAAAUUUAGUAGAAAACUUUAUUCAGUCAUAUAUUCUGGGUGUGAUAUCAUGAGGACAGUGGAUCACGUUUCACUUUACUUUGGCAUUCUUCUGGCAGUCACAGUUAUUCUAAAGUGUGAAAGCCGUCGACACGAGAACGAACAGUCCGAGACGGUGACAUUAACACGGUCUGGACUCAGAAACACUACACCUCCAAGCAGACAUCACUCUCGGUACCAAGCAGAAAAGAUUAUUCGAAACUGUUCUCUGUGCAAGAUCGUUGUUAAAGGGCUGAUGAGCUAUGUUAGGAUACGAUAUACAAGGGGAACGAAUGCCCUGUGUCACAUCUUUUUACGCAAGCAUAAAAAAAAAUGCCAAGAAACAGUUCAACGCAAGCUUAUGGAACUCAAACCCAAAAUAAUGAAAAAGUUGUUCCCUGGUGGUGCAGUGGGUGUGUGUAGGAAGAUUAAAGCUUGCAAAUGAAAUUAUUAAUGAAUGCGCUGUGUGUGACUGCAUGUGUGUACUGUACUGUACAUCUUGGUUCAGUUUCAUUUCUUUUUAUAAUUUUCUUGUAAAACUACCAAAACGUUUCACUUUGGCCAAUACAGCUUAAUACUGCAGAAUUUUCUUAGACUUAGGAUGUGUCUCAAAUUCAAAUCCAAAACAAUUGGCACCCCUCAAAACAAUAAUGGGGGAAAAAAGACUUUAUUAAAUAAACCAUUUACAUAAUUACCUAAUGUAAUACAAUAUCUUAAAAUCUUGGCUAGGUGUAAAAAAAAAAAUAAGAAGCUAUUUUAAAACCAAAAGUCACUAUAGUGGAAAAUAACUUUCUACUCCAUGUUUUGCAUUAAAACAAAUGCACUAAUUGAAAAAUGUAGAAAAGUUUAGUAAAAAGAUUAACUCAAGGCUGCCGAAAACAAGCUGCACGUAAGUGGAAAGCUAAAGAUACCACGAUGGUGCGUGGUGUGUCAGACUGGAUAUCACCACCCUCACGCCUGGACAUCACCAUCGGCAGAUUUGAAGCCUGACGAGGCGUUUAACAUCUCUUCCGUUUAGUCUUUGUGGGGGGAAGCUGAAAAACAGAAACAAAGAAAACAAGUAGUCAGAAAAAUACGCUUUAAAAUAAGUUAAUAAACAGGAUUAUUCUUGAAUUUCAUAAUAGAUUUGUACAUUUAGUCAGAAAACAUCUGGAGAAAUGCGGACAUUGUUUCACAUUGCGUUUUUUUUGCUCACCUCAGGUAUUUUACACGGUGAGAUUUUUCCACAAAAUCCUCAGACACAGGACGAGACAGAAACAGGAAUGUUCCAUAAAAGUUUCUUUGUGGAUCCGAGACACGGAAUAAGCAAUCAUACCGAGGAUUUAAGAUUUCUUAAGUGUGCAAUAUGCAAGAAAAUUGUUAAUUCGAUUAUAAAAAGAGUGGACAGAAGAAUUAAAGAGACAACUUUUAAAGUUUGCCUGAGCUUUCUAAAAAAAUACAGACAUAAGUGCUUCAAAAAGCUCAAAAAGCUUCGACCAAAGCUGAUUAAUGGGAUCUUCCCUGAGGGUGGACGGGGCACAUGCUGGAGGAUGGAAAUAUGUUAGUUGGACAUUCUUUACCUUGACCUUACACAAACUUUAUGGAAAAUUUAACAUAGUGUGAGUGAUUUCUUUUCAUUAUCUAGUAAGUAAAAUGUAAUUGAAAAUUACAGAAAUAAACACAGCAGCAAACUCACAACAAUG